UACGUAGGGACCAAGCGUUGUUCGGAUUUACUGGGCGUAAAGGGCGCGUAGGCGGCAAUUCAAGUCAUCUGUGAAAUCUCCGGGCUUAACCCGGAACGGUCAGGUGAUACUGUUUUGCUAGAGUGCGGAAGGGGCAAUCGGAAUUCUCGGUGUAGCGGUGAAAUGCGUAGAUAUCGAGAGGAACACCAGAGGUGAAGACGGGUUGCUGGGCCGACACUGAAGCUGACAGCGCGAAAGCCAGGGGAGCAAACGGG
RNAcentral lists this ribosomal RNA (254 nucleotides) under uncultured bacterium. RNAcentral's name for it is "partial 16S ribosomal RNA". It matches the Rfam family "Bacterial small subunit ribosomal RNA", at positions 524 to 776 of the family's 1533-position model. The record is from RNAcentral.